AUUAUUUUGGCAGAGAAUAUGCGUUAGAUUUAGGAUCUAAUAAUAUAGGAAUACUAUAAAUAAUA
This 65-nucleotide transfer RNA is filed under the name Pacifastacus leniusculus (signal crayfish). RNAcentral's name for it is "tRNA-Leu". The record is from RNAcentral. Lineage: Eukaryota; Metazoa; Arthropoda; Malacostraca; Decapoda; Astacidae.